RNAcentral lists this ribosomal RNA (440 nucleotides) under uncultured bacterium. RNAcentral's name for it is "partial 16S ribosomal RNA". It matches the Rfam family "Bacterial small subunit ribosomal RNA", at positions 338 to 795 of the family's 1533-position model. The record is from RNAcentral.
CCUACGGGAGGCAGCAGUAGGGAAUAUUGCUCAAUGGGGGAAACCCUGAAGCAGCAACGCCGCGUGGAGGAUGAAGGUUUUCGGAUUGUAAACUCCUUUUGUUAGAGAAGAUAAUGACGGUAUCUAACGAAUAAGCACCGUCUAACUCCGGGCCAGCAGCGGCGGUAAUACGGAGGGUGCAAGCGUUACUCGGAAUCACUGGGCGUAAAGAGCGCGUAGGCGGGAUAGCAAGUCAGAUGUGAAAUCCUAUGGCUUAACCAUAGAACUGCAUUUGAAACUGUUAUUCUAGAGUAUGGGAGAGGUAGGUGGAAUUCUUGGUGUAGGGGUAAAAUCCGUAGAGAUCAAGAGGAAUACUCAUUGCGAAGGCGACCUGCUAGAACAUAACUGACGCUGAUGCGCGAAAGCGUGGGGAGCGAACAGGAUUAGAUACCCUUGUAGUC